AGAGUUUGAUCCUGGCUCAGAUUGAACGCUAGCGGAAUGCCUUACACAUGCAAGUCGAACGGCAGCGCGGACUUCGGUCUGGCGGCGAGUGGCGAACGGGUGAGUAAUGUAUCGGAACGUGCCCAGUAGCGGGGGACAACCACUCGAAAGAGUGGCUAAUACCGCAUACGCCCUACGGGGGAAAGGGGGGGAUCGCAAGACCUCUCACUAUUGGAGCGGCCGAUAUCGGAUUAGCUAGUUGGUGGGGUAAAGGCCUACCAAGGCGACGAUCCGUAGCUGGUUUGAGAGGACGACCAGCCACACUGGGACUGAGACACGGCCCAGACUCCUACGGGAGGCAGCAGUGGGGAAUUUUGGACAAUGGGGGAAACCCUGGUCCAGCCAUUCCGCGUGUGCGAUGAAGGCCUUCGGGUUGUAAAGCACUUUUGGCAGGAAAGAAAUCGUGUAGGUUAAUACCCUGCGCGGAUGACGGUACCUGCAGAAUAAGCACCGGCUAACUACGUG
RNAcentral lists this ribosomal RNA (504 nucleotides) under uncultured bacterium. Its description in RNAcentral is "bacterial SSU rRNA". It matches the Rfam family "Bacterial small subunit ribosomal RNA", at positions 8 to 507 of the family's 1533-position model. The record is from RNAcentral.